This 301-nucleotide ribosomal RNA is filed under the name uncultured bacterium. Its description in RNAcentral is "partial 16S ribosomal RNA". It matches the Rfam family "Bacterial small subunit ribosomal RNA", at positions 509 to 807 of the family's 1533-position model. The record is from RNAcentral.
CAGUAGCCGCGGGAAUACGUAGGUGGCAAGCGUUGUCCGGAAUUAUUGGGCGUAAAGGGCUCGCAGGCGGUUUCUUAAGUCUGAUGUGAAAGCCCCCGGCUCAACCGGGGAGGGUCAUUGGAAACCGGGAAACUUGAGUGCAGAAGAGGAGAGUGGAAUUCCACGUGUAGCGGUGAAAUGCGUAGAGAUGUGGAGGAACACCAGUGGCGAAGGCGACUCUCUGGUCUGUAACUGACGCUGAGGAGCGAAAGCGUGGGGAGCGAACAGGAUUAGAUACCCCGGUAGUCCCUGUCUCUUAUAC